Molecule: transfer RNA, 73 nt
Rfam family: tRNA
About the family: Transfer RNA (tRNA) molecules are approximately 80 nucleotides in length. Their secondary structure includes four short double-helical elements and three loops (D, anti-codon, and T loops). Further hydrogen bonds mediate the characteristic L-shaped molecular structure. tRNAs have two regions of fundamental functional importance: the anti-codon, which is responsible for specific mRNA codon recognition, and the 3' end, to which the tRNAs corresponding amino acid is attached (by aminoacyl-tRNA synthetases). tRNAs cope with the degeneracy of the genetic code in two manners: having more than one tRNA (with a specific anti-codon) for a particular amino acid; and 'wobble' base-pairing, i.e. permitting non-standard base-pairing at the 3rd anti-codon position.
Source: Rfam
GGGGGAUUAGCUCAGCUGGGAGAGCGCCUGCUUUGCACGCAGGAGGUCAUCGGUUCGAUCCCGUUAUCCUCCA